GACGAACGCUGGCGGCGUGCUUAACACAUGCAAGUCGAACGAGAAGAGAUGAGAAGCUUGCUUCUUAUCAAUUCGAGUGGCAAACGGGUGAGUAACGCGUAAGCAACCUGCCCUUNAGAUGGGGACAACAGCUGGAAACGGCCGCUAAUACCGAAUACGUUCUUUUUGUCGCAUGGCAGAGGGAAGAAAGGGAGGCUCUUCGGAGCUUUCGCUGAAGGAGGGGCUUGCGUCUGAUUAGCUAGUUGGAGGGGUAACGGCCCACCAAAGGCGACGAUCAGUAGCCGGACUGAGAGGUUGAACGGCCACAUUGGGACUGAGAUACGGCCCAGACUCCUACGGGAGGCAGCAGUGGGGAAUAUUGGGGCAAUGGGCGCAAGCCUGACCCAGCAACGCCGCGUGAAGGAAGAAGGCUUUCGGUGUAAACUCUUUAUAAGGGAA
This 438-nucleotide ribosomal RNA is filed under the name uncultured bacterium. Its description in RNAcentral is "bacterial SSU rRNA". It matches the Rfam family "Bacterial small subunit ribosomal RNA", at positions 28 to 445 of the family's 1533-position model. The record is from RNAcentral.